UCAAGUCACCUGCUUGGCCAUCUUCCAACU
This 30-nucleotide non-coding RNA is filed under the name Homo sapiens (human). The record is from RNAcentral. Lineage: Eukaryota; Metazoa; Chordata; Mammalia; Primates; Hominidae.